CACAGAGCAACAAUGGCGUUUCUUACUGGAAAAAUCUCUACUUUACCCUUCAAAUUUUACACUGUUUCAUCUUCUUCACAACAACAAGAUGCAAACCAAAACCUGAAAUCAGUGAAAAUUAGAGAAGAUUGGAGGAAAAAAUCUCGACCUAUUCCUCCUGGUGGGACUUAUCCAGCUAAAGACCACUGCAGCCACUGUGGUUUGUGUGACACUUACUACAUUGCUCAUGUGAAUAAUGCAUGUGCUUUCUUGGGGGAUGGCAUGUCUAGAGUUGAAUGUAUGCAGUGAAACAAGACUUGGCUGUGAUAUUGCAGUGUGUUGUGGAAGUCAUAAGAAAAGUUUGCAAGCUAGAAAGAUGCUCAGAGAGAGUACUGGUUCAUGUUCUCUGAGACCGUGCUUUGGAACCUAUUGUCCAUGGACGAGGACGGAAAGAAGAUUCCUUGGAUGAGAUUUAUAUGGGGGUGUAUGAGAAUCUAUUGUAUGCUCGUAAAACUAAGCCUGUGGAAGGAGCUCAAUGGACGGGGAUAGUGACAACUAUUGCCGUGGAGAUGCUAAAAGCUGGGAUGGUGGAAGCUGUUAUUUGUGUUCAGAGUGAUCCAGAAGAUCGAUUUGCUCCUCGACCUGUCCUGGCAAGGACUCCAGAGGAAGUUAUAGCAGCUAAAGGUGUUAAGCCGACACUGUCUCCUAAUCUAAAUACUCUUGCCUUAGUUGAGGUUUCUUCUUUCACUUCCAUUAUCAUCAGAAUCUUUGAUUGUUCUGUUGUCAUCAAUGCAUUUAUAAUCUGUGUAACUCUAUUGAAUUCUUAAUGGAGCAUGUUGUCAUGGAUUGAAGAUGCCAUAUCUCUCCUCAAUAGGUAAUUGGAACUUGUGUAGCUAUGCUUUCUUAUUCUUCACCACACCACCAAAUUAGCUUUACUAUCACCCCCCCUCCCCCCGUCAGACCACCACAAUCUAAUACUGUAAUUGCCCCAAUCGGGGAUUUUAUUAAGAUAAGCUCUUUUGAUUUUCUGAUUUGUUCCAUAUUAUGGUUCGAGCUGAAUUCCUUUCCUGACAAUUUCAGAGUCUUUUUGCCAAAUUUUUCCUCUCUAUCCAUUUGAAGGUCGUAGGUUAUUUUUUGACUUUAUUUUAACUAUUUGAGCUUAUUUCUCCCCAAAUGCUUUCUCCCUUUCUUUUGGUAAGCAUCAACCAUCUGCAUAUCACACUUGUAAGGGUAGGCUUCUUGUUAUUUCUUUUCAUAACAAUGCAAUCAUGGAAUUUCACACUUUCUAGUCGUGCAUGCUCUAAUGCAUUAAAAACUGGGCUUUAAGAGAUUCCAGUUUUCACUGAGGAUUGUCACACAAGUGUAUAGUAUAACUUGUAGUUCAAAUGUUGAAGUAAGCAGUAUUGUUUCCUGGAAACAGGCAGCUGGUGUAAAGCGCCUUCUCUUCUGCGGGGUUGGCUGCCAAGUUCAAGCUUUAAGAUCAGUGGAGCAAUAUUUGAAUCUGGAAAAACUUUAUGUUCUAGGCACUAACUGUGUGGAUAAUGGACCACGAGAAGGUUUAGAUAAAUUUCUGAAGGCUGCUAGCAGUGAACCUGAAACAGUUCUCCACUAUGAGUUUAUGCAAGACUACAAGGUCCAUCUGAAGCAUUUGGAUGGCCAUAUUGAAGAGGUUCCCUAUUUCUGUUUACCAGCAAAUGACUUGGUUGAUGUUAUUGCACCAUCUUGUUACAGCUGUUUUGACUACACAAAUGGCUUGGCGGUGAGUUCUUUGUUCAUAAUUAAAGGCCCUGAUAUAUUGCACAAUACAAUUUUCACAAAGAAACAGACAAAAUAAACAUCCAAGAGAAGCAUGUGCACAGUACAUACACAUGUGUUAGACUUUCAAAUAGCAAAGGAAAGCAUACUCUUAAAUGCUACUUUGAUUAGUCUUAGAUUCUGAAAGGUGAUGUGUUACUGGUGGAAUAUUAAAUUUUACUGGUGUAAUUUCCUGCAUUUGCAAAUGUCUAUUUGUCUACUAUGUUUGGAACUUAUAAAUAGGUCUGUAUUAUAGUCAUCAAAUCGUUAAUCUUGAAUAGAUCUCUUCUCUCUUUAUGUCUCACAAACAGAUCUUUUUCUAGUGCGUAGUUUUCUGACAGGGAAAGAGGUUUUGCAAAGGCAGCCUCGAUCAUUGAGGAAUUUAUAGGUUCUAGAGCUAGACCUGGCCACUCAUUUGCUCCAACUGUUUUCAAGUGAAAGCUUGUGACAGAUCUGGAGAUAAGAUUCAGUGGUUGAGGUCCAAGGGGGAUCUUUUAGCAAACUCAUUUUGGUCUUGGAUGGUAAUGCAUUAUGGUUCCGUCAUAAGUUUACUCUUUAAGGUUUCUAGAAUCGUAUCAUUGAAGAUUCGAUGCUGCAUAUCUUAUUAUCCAUGAAAAUUAAGUAUUUUUGCUCCUUGGAAGAUUUAUUAGUCGAUGUCUUUCUCUAUUACAGUAGUUUCCAAACAUUAACGUGACAGAUUAUUUCGUUUAAAUAAAAGCAAAGCUUGAUAAUCCCGGUGCAUAUGCCAACAUUUCAAAUCUUACCUUCAAGGAACUUGUCAGGAUUUGGUGGUGGGAUACAUGGGUGUGCCGAAAUACAGUGGAAUCAGCAUGAUGCAGCAUCCCCAGUAUGUUACUGUCAGAAAUGAACGUGGUAGAGAAAUGCUAAACCUUAUCGAGAACCUCUUGGAAAUUACUCCGACGAUAAGUAGUGGUAAGCGGCGUCCAUUUGUCGUGGAAACCGUGAAGGCAGAUGAUGAAGCAAAAUUUGGAAGAGGUCCUUCUCAACCUGCUCCAAAGUUUGUUGGAAAUUUAAUAGCAUUUCUUCUCAACAUAGUCGGACCGAAGGGUCUAGAAUUUGCACGUUACUCGCUAGAUUAUCACACAAUCAGAAAUUACUUAAACGUAGUCCGCAAAUGGGGAAAAGAAAGAGCGGACAGACAUAUGCCUGAAUAUGCAAAGAAAAUUGUUAGCAUGUACAACGAGAGUGGAGAAAUUGAUCAAAUGCUUUCCAAAAAGUGAAUAAUUUGAUGGUAGAACUUUGGCAUUUGCAACUCAAGCUUUGGUGAACAAAGUUAUCCGGUACCUAUGCUGGUGGAAGGUAGCAAGUAUCCCAUAGAGUAGUCGAGGUGCGUGCGAGCUAACCCGUACACCAUGGUUAUCAAAAAAAUGUUGGUGAUUGCAACUCUUCAUGUACGUGUAUAGUGUCUAAUUAAACACACAUCAGAAUUAACUCUUUUUGAUAGAAUUGUAAUUCCUUUUAUAAUAAUUAACUAUGUUGACCAUUGGUAAAAACAACUCUUCAUGUAUGUGAUUUAGUUUCAAA
Solanum lycopersicum (tomato) is the source of this 3318-nucleotide RNA transcript. It is a transcript of the gene named coenzyme F420 hydrogenase_dehydrogenase beta subunit-like, with no coding region annotated. The record is from RefSeq and is marked validated. NCBI's taxonomy places the organism in Eukaryota, Viridiplantae, Streptophyta, Magnoliopsida, Solanales, Solanaceae.